This 194-nucleotide ribosomal RNA is filed under the name uncultured bacterium. Its description in RNAcentral is "partial 16S ribosomal RNA". It matches the Rfam family "Bacterial small subunit ribosomal RNA", at positions 338 to 524 of the family's 1533-position model. The record is from RNAcentral.
CCUACGGGAGGCAGCAGUGGGGAAUAUUGCACAAUGGGCGCAAGCCUGAUGCAGCCAUGCCGCGUGUAUGAAGAAGGCCUUCGGGUCGUAAAGUACUUUCAGCGGGGAGGAAGGUGUUGCGGUUAAUAACCGCAGCAAUUGACGUUACCCGCAGAAGAAGCACCGGCUAACUCCGUGCCAGCAGCCGCGGUAAU